This is an RNA transcript of Solanum pennellii, 2821 nucleotides long. It is a transcript of the gene named cation/calcium exchanger 4-like, with no coding region annotated. The transcript is spliced from 3 exons. The record is from RefSeq and is a predicted model, not a curated record. NCBI's taxonomy places the organism in Eukaryota, Viridiplantae, Streptophyta, Magnoliopsida, Solanales, Solanaceae.
UACUAACAAUUAUACAAAUUAGUUUCUAGAGAAAAAAAUAAUCUUGAAAUUGUACGUUUACCAUUACCAUCCAAAGGGAACAUUGAGAUUUUUGUGAAAGGAUCCUUUGCGGGAAGCUUCGCAGAAAGAUCAAAGAUUUUCAUGAACCCCAUAACUCUUCAAACCUCGUAACAGCUUCGAAUUUCAAACCCCAUCAAUCUGGUAAGUACCCAUUUUUGCUUUUGAGCUAUUUUUGUUCUUGUCUUGUACAAAAUUCCAAGACUUUUUCGAUGUGUUUUGCUGAAUUUCAGUAGUUUCUAAUUGAAAACUGAGGAUUAUGGUUCUUGGGUUUUCGAUGCGUUUUGCUGAGUUUCAGUAGUUUUUAAUUGAAACUGAGGGGAUUAUGGUUCUUGGGUAAUUUGAAAUAUUUGUUGAAAAAUGGAGAAAUCUGAUGGGUUUUUCAUUAGAAAAAGUCCACGACUUCGUGGGGUGUUCAAUCUUGUGUGUUCCCUAGUCCUUAUGUUUAUGUUCUACAACCGUGAAGAUAUUGUGAGCAAUCCAAUUAUAAAGAAGUCAUCUUUAGUUUCUAGUCAGUGGAACCCAAGUAGUAGAUUUGAUGGUUAUUCUUCACAUACACGAGUGGUUCGUCGAGGGAUGUUAGAAGUGAACGGGUCGGAUGCUGAUGAUUUGGUGGUAAAAAAGCCUCAGUUAUGUGCAGGAUUGUUUGAUCAUGUGGGGUUUAAAAGUAGUUGUGACUUCUUGAAAGUUCACCCGGAUUGCUCGUCUGGAGGGUUCUUUGAUUACCUUAAGUUCUAUUACUGUGGUUGUAAUGGAAGUGCGUGGGCGUUUGUAGUAUUUGGUGUCUGGCUUGCUGCAUUGUUCUAUCUUUUGGGUAACACUGCAGCUGAUUACUUUUGUGGUUCAUUGGAGAAACUGGCUAGCUUGUUGAAGCUAUCUCCUACAGUUGCUGGAGUUGUUUUGCUCCCGCUUGGUAAUGGUGCUCCGGAUGUAUUCGCGAGUAUUGCUGCGUUUGUAGGAAGUGGUGCUGGUGAUGUUGGGCUUAACAGUGUUCUAGGUGGGGCUGUGUUUGUUACUUGCGUUGUCGUGGGUGCUGUUUCUCUUUGUGUAGCUGAUCAGGAUGUUCAGGUUGACAAAAAAUGUUUUAUUAGGGAUAUUGCCUUUUUCAUUGUAACACUGAUGUCACUAUUAUUGAUCUUGAUUGUUGGUGAAGUUAGUGUCGUAGCAACUAUUGCAUUUGUAUUGAUCUAUGUUAUUUAUGCCUUUGUUGUUGCUGCCAAUGAGAUUUUGAGGAAGCAUGCUCGAAGAUUGAGAUUGGAUGUUGUUACUCCUUUGCUUCCUGUAAGAGGAAGUAUAUUUUCUGAAGGGACUCAGGAGGAGGAUUCUGUUUAUAGCACUUUGCUUGACGUUGAGACAGAGGACAAUACCAUACAGUCACAUGGUUCCUUGCCUCAGUGGAUGUGGGCAUCCAAUGUGGCAAUAUAUUCUAAUCAGUCAUUGAGGGUGCAUGAUGGGGAAAGGCCUUUGUGGGGUUGGAUUGACGAGGGUGUAGAAGUCAAGAGCCCAUCAUUUUCCUGCUCUCAGCUCUGUUCACUUCUAGAGUUGCCAUUGACUGUGCCAAGACGAUUAACCAUUCCAUUAGUUGAGGAAGAAACUUGGUCAAAACCAUACGCUGUAGGCAGUGCUACUUUAGCUCCUUUUCUUCUUGCAGCUUUAUGGAAUACUCAGGAUUAUGUGAGUUACCUAGGCAGAAGUGUUGCUAUAGUUCUUGGCAUUUCUGUUGGUUGCACACUGGGUAUACUUGCAUACAAGCAUACAAGAGCUGACCGUCCACCACAGAUGUUUUUGCUUCCAUGGGUUUUGGGGGGUUUUAUUAUGAGUAUCGUGUGGUUUUAUAUGAUUGCGAAUGAACUGGUGGCGCUGCUGGUUGGAUUGGGUGUUGUACUGGGGGUUAAUCCCUCUAUUCUUGGGCUCACUGUUUUGGCUUGGGGCAAUUCAAUGGGUGAUCUGGUCUCUAAUGUUGCUUUGGCGAUGAAUGGGGGAGAUGGUGUGCAGAUUGCUUUAUCUGGAUGCUAUGCAGGUCCCAUGUUUAAUACACUUAUUGGGUUAGGAAUCUCAUUAUUCCUCGGUGCCUGGUCAGAGAAACCUUCUUCAUUCAUACUUCCAGGGGAUAGAAGUUUGUUUUACACCAUAUGUUUUCUCCUGUUUGGUCUUUUAUGGGCCCUUGUUGUUCUUCCCAAGAAUGACAUGCGCCCUAACAAGAUGCUUGGUGUAGGCCUUAUCAUCAUUUAUUUGGUAUUUCUGUCUGUUAGACUGAGUAGCGCGAUGGGGAUUGUUUCAUUGUUUGGGCUUAGUGACUAAUAGUUGCAUGUUCAGAAAGAUUAGCAUUGAAAUCAUCUGAACUUGAGAUUCAGAUUGUCCCACUUCACUUGACUAGUGAACUUGAUUGGUAUCUUCAUCAUGGGACAAAGUUCCAAUAUAAGGAGCUUGUUAUGCUCAUCAAUGAUGUAUUCUGCUGUACAAAUACUCAUAAAACUGCAAGUGUCUUUUGAUAAAGCUAUCCAUCUCUCUGCUGGUGACUCAAACAAGUGGUUCAGCUUUUUUCAUCUCGCGUCUAUCAGGUGAACAAUAAAGGUGUACGUGAUGGAGGAAUAAAUAAGUUUGGGAUAAUUAAAGCGGAAUAUAGUUUAGGCGUACGCACUACACAGAAUAAAAAGCUCAAGUUCAGAAAGGUAAUGCAUAGUUUUGCCUAAUUUAUUCGUUUUUUAAAAAAUAAUUUUGUUUGGUGGUCAAGUAUUCUAGAAAGCUGUUAGUUGGUUUGUGU